GUGUCCUGGAAGCACAUAUACUAAAAUUGGAUACAGAGAUGAUACAGAGAUGAUUACCAAGGACCCUUCACACAAGGAUGACACACAAAUUCGUGAAAUGUUUCAUAUUAAA
This is a small nuclear RNA of Sorex fumeus (smoky shrew), 112 nucleotides long. NCBI's taxonomy places the organism in Eukaryota, Metazoa, Chordata, Mammalia, Eulipotyphla, Soricidae. The record is from RefSeq and is a predicted model, not a curated record.